RNAcentral lists this long non-coding RNA (227 nucleotides) under Lathyrus oleraceus (garden pea). RNAcentral describes it as "Pisum sativum (pea) long non-coding RNA (PSAT_LNC039506)". Lineage: Eukaryota; Viridiplantae; Streptophyta; Magnoliopsida; Fabales; Fabaceae. The record is from RNAcentral.
AACCGGAAACCAAAUAGGACGUUUAUCGACGACUCUACUGGGGAUUUCUUGCUGGGGCACAACCAGACAUUUACCGAUGACUGGGGAGAAUACUCGACGUUUACCGACAUCGAAAGAUGAUGUUUACCGACAUCAAAGAAAGGAGACCAGACAUUUACCGAUGACUGGGAUGAGACUCGACGUUUACCGACAUCGAAAGAUGAUGUUUACCGACACCAAACAAAGAC